Zingiber officinale is the source of this 105-nucleotide small nuclear RNA. The record is from RefSeq and is a predicted model, not a curated record. Lineage: Eukaryota; Viridiplantae; Streptophyta; Magnoliopsida; Zingiberales; Zingiberaceae.
GUUUUUUUUUGGGAGACAUCUGAAAAAAUUGAACAAAUACCAGCAAAAUUAGCAUGGUCCCUUCCAAGGAGGACAUGCAUAAAUUGAGAAAUGAUCUAAAUUUUU